RNA transcript from Neopsephotus bourkii (Bourke's parrot), 14696 nucleotides. It is a transcript of the gene named vacuolar protein sorting 13 homolog D, with no coding region annotated. Lineage: Eukaryota; Metazoa; Chordata; Aves; Psittaciformes; Psittacidae. The record is from RefSeq and is a predicted model, not a curated record. The transcript has 71 exons.
GAGGCGGGGAGGGUGCGCAGCGGUAGCUCGGCGUUCCCCUGUCCCGGCGUGCCCCUGUCGGUGGGCUCGGAUCGAUUAACGUGCGGCCCGCCGGUCCCGCGCUCUGUCAAGGAGGCGGCCGCCACCGGGAGCCCAGAGUGAGACUAUGGAACAGAAAUACAGAAAAUGACAGAAAAACAUUAGUUGCCCUCUUCUAGGACAGUCAUGUUGGAAGGAUUGGUAGCCUGGGUCCUCAACACCUAUUUGGGCAAAUAUGUCAAUAAUCUGAACACAGACCAGCUUUCAGUCGCUCUUCUGAAGGGUGCUGUUGAAUUGGAAAACUUGCCACUAAAGAAAGAUGCCUUGAAGGAACUGGAAUUACCUUUUGAAGUAAAGGCAGGUUUCAUUGGGAAAAUAACACUGCAGAUACCUUUUUACCGUCCACAUGUGGAUCCAUGGGUAAUAUCUAUCUCAAAAUUACACUUAAUUGGUGCACCAGAAAAAAAAGAAGAUUUUGAUGAGGAAAAGGAGAAGUUGCAAGAGAGAGAACGCAAAAAAGCCCUUCUCCUAGCACUUGAGGAAAAAUGGAAAAAAGAACAACAACAGAAAGGGGAAUCCUACUGGUACUCAGUUACUGCAUCUGUAGUCACAAGAAUUGUAGAAAACAUUGAAUUAAAAAUUCAGGAUGUCCACUUGAGGUUUGAAGAUGGUGUCACAAACCCUUUGCAGCCAUUUGCAUUUGGCAUAUGCAUCAAAAAAGUAUCCGUGCAAAAUGCAGUAUUUGAACCAGUAGAGAAGCUGAUGCGUAAAAAACAGUUGGAUGUUGCUGACUUCAGUGUUUAUUGGGAUACCAACUGCACUUUACUGGGAGACCUGCCUCCUGGCCAGCUACAGGAAGCAAUGGAUAAAAGUAUGGAAAGUCAUGAUCAUAAUUACAUCAUGGAACCUGUAUGCGCUUCCGCUCUUCUUAAGAGAAAUUGUUCUAAGGAGCCUUUAAGAUCACGCCAGACUCCACGGCUUGAGUGUGACAUUCAGCUUGAGACUAUACCCUUGAAGCUUUCACAGAUGCAGUACCAGCAGAUCAUGGGAUUUCUAAAGGAACUGGCUAGAAAGGAGCGACAGCUUAAAUUCAGGAAGUGGAGACCAAAGGUUCCGGUAACACAGAACUGCCAAGAAUGGUGGAUCUUUGCUUUGAAUGCUAAUCUGUCGGAGAUCAGGGAGCAGAGGCAGCGCUCCACCUGGGAGUUUGUAUUACAUCGGGCCCAAGAUGCAGUGUCUUACACUGACCUGUAUUACACCAAGUUGAAGGGGGAACCACUGUCUGCUGCAGAGCAGGCAGAAAUGCAUCGUAUUGAAGAUGAGCAAACAUACGAAGAGUUGAAGAUACUAUAUGAGAUAGUUCAUGAUAAAAUUCAUGACUUAGCUGAGAGCAUUAAAGAGCCCUUGCCUUAUUCCCCUGGAGGGUCCCCUACAGCAGAAUCUGCACAUGGCAGUAGCACUGGAAUGCUGCAGUAUCUUCAGUCAUGGUUUCCUGGAUGGGGAGGUUGGUAUGGAUAUGCUCAGCAAGCAUACGAAGGGGAACCAUUUGAAGGGCUGCUGACAGACCCAAAGGAACAGUGGAAUCCAGAGGACAUACUGGGUACAGAUGAGUUUUUUGACCCUGCUGCAGAUGCUUCUAGCAUGAAUACCUUUACAAAGAGAGAUCAUAUUUUUGCUAAAUUUAAUCUACAGUUGCAGGGUGGCUCUUUCACUCUGUUGCAUAAAAAGAAGAAGGUGGUGCAUGCUGAGGAGACUGCUUUUAUACAGCUGGAGUUUUCAGGUGUAAAGAUCUUAGCAGAAUCCCUUCCUCGCAGAAAUUCUUCCCUUCUCAGAGUUCAGCUUGGUGGUCUUUUUCUGAGGGAUUUGGCAACAGAAGGAACCAUAUUUCCUGUUCUUGUUUUCCCAAAUCCUCAGAAAGAGGUUGGCUGCAUGUCUUCCUUUGGACUCCAGAGUUUGUCCUCAGAAAUGACUAAUCAGAACACUGAUCCUGAUGCCCCAGUAUUUGAGAUGCUUUAUGAGAGAAAUCCAAUCCACAGCACUUUUGAGAGGCGCCUGGAAGUCAGUACCAGACCUCUCAAUAUUAUUUACAAUCCACAAGCCAUUAAGAAAGUAGCUGACUUCUUCUACAAGGGAAGAGUUCAUACCUCAGGUUUUGGAUAUCAGUCUGAAUUAGAAGCAAGAGUGGCUGAAGCUGCCAGAAGACAGUACAACAAGCUGAAAAUGCAGACAAAAGCUGAAAUCAGGCAAACUAUUGAUCGUUUACUUGUAGGAGACUUCAUAGAAAACAGCAAAAGCUGGACUGUGUGCCUUGAUAUUUCUGCCCCUCAGGUGAUAUUUCCUGAUGAUUUCAAAUUUGUGGAUCCAGUGUUAGUUGUUGUAGAUCUGGGAAGAAUAUUACUUACCAAUUCUCAAGAAGAAUCUAAAAGGAGUACAGAUACUUUUUCUUCAGAAGUCAACGAACUGAGUGAUGAGGAAUAUAAAACACCUCUUGCAACUCCUCCCAAUACUCCACCACCAGAAUCUAACACUAAUAGUGGCAUGAAAAUGUCUGAGUUUACUGAACUAGAAAUAAGUGAAGAGCAUCUACAAGCACACUUAAUGAGUAAAAGAAUGUAUGAGAGAUACACACUUUCAUUUAUGGAUCUUCAGAUCAUGGUGGGCCGAGUGAAAGACAACUGGAAACAUGUUCAAGAUAGUGAUGUGGGUCCAACUCAUGUGGUAGAAAAAUUCAAUGUUCACCUGCAGUUGGAGCGCAGGUUGAUUUACACGUCUGACCCAAAAUACCCAGGAGCUGUCUUGUCUGGAAGUCUGCCUGACUUGAAAAUCCACAUCAAUGAAGACAAAAUCCUGGCUCUGAAGAACUGUUGUAUGCAGCUGAGUACAUCUGAAACUAAGUCUUCUGAUGCCCUGCAUUUAGGGAAAGAUAAGAUUUUUGCAGAGGUAGACCAGCUUGGCAGUUUACAUGAUUCUGUGAUGAACCUAACCCAGAGUGUUGUGAUGCUAGAGCAACACACCAGGGAAGUUCUUGUUGAGUCUCAGCUGCUUUUGGCUGAAUUCAAAGUAAAUUGUAUGCAGUUGGGUGUUGAAAGUAAUGGAAGAUACAUCUCUGUACUCAAGGUUUUUGGCACCAAUGCCCGUUUUGUGAAAAGGCCAUAUGAUGCAGAGGUGUCCCUGACUGUUCAUGGCCUGUUACUAGUUGAUACUAUGCAAACAUAUGGAACAGAUUUUGAUCUUUUGAUGGCUUCUCAUAAGAAUCUGAGUUUUGAUGUGCCAACAGGAAGUCUUCGAGACAGCAGGGCUCAGUCUCCAGUUUAUGGACCACAUGAUUCACGUCCCAUUGAUGCAGCUAGUUUGGCAAAGAGAUGCACUACAGCUUCAAGUACUUCAUCUGGUAACAAUGGAAAAGAUCAAGAGUCCCUGAUAAAAUUAGAGUAUCAGUUUGUGAGUGCUGAAUGUCCAUCAAUGAAUUUGGAUUCCAGUCUGCAGGUGAUCUCUGUACAGGUGAACAACCUGGAUAUCAUCCUUAACCCAGAGACUAUUGUUGAACUGAUUUGCUUUCUCCAGAAAUCUUUCCCGAAGGAGAAAGAAGAUUCCAGCCCUCAGCCUUUAAUAACUGACUUGGAAAAAGAUUGGAGGGAACAGGAAACCUUCCAGUCAACUUACGUACAGAAUACGGAGGUAGCAGUUGAUAUUCACUGGUUAAAUAUACUCCUCCUCAGGACAGUUGGCAUGACAAAUGGAGAAAAAUAUGGCAGAAAAAUUGCAACAGCCAGUAUUGGUGGCACCAAAGUCAAUGUCUCCAUGUGUAGUAAAUUUGAUGUAAAUGGCUCUCUGGGAUGCCUUCAGCUGAUGGAUCUAACACAAGAUAGUGUUAAGAACCAGUAUGUUGUCAGCAUAGGGAAUACAGUGAGGUAUGAAAAUCUCAUUGGUGAUGUAGAUUACUUGGAAUCUUUAUUUUUCAGGCUUGAUGAUGGGAAUAGCCUUCCAGAUGCAUUAAGUUUUACUUUCACAGAAAAGUCAAAAGAGGAAUGUUCUCUGAACCUCAAAAUGGCCUCUUUACACUACAACCACUCAGCUAAGUUUCUGAAAGAACUAACUUUGUCAAUGGAUGAAUUGGAAGAGAAUUUCCGCAGCAUGCUGAAAAGUGCAGCUUCAAAAGUUACCACAGUCUUGGCAACUAAAACUGCUGAAUACAGUGAAAUGGUUUCUUUGUUUGACACAACACCACGAUCAAGAGAUGUUGCCAAUUUAGAAGAUAAUGAAGGCUAUGCCUUUGGAUUACAGCCACUCAAAAUUGAUACUAUUAAACUUAUAUUAAAUGUAAACAUUGAGUCACCCAUAGUUUCCAUACCUCGAAAGCCUGGUAGCUCUGAACUGCUUGUAGGUCAUCUAGGACAAAUAUCCAUUCAGAAUUUUGUACCAGGAGAAGACGAAUCUACAAGUGAUAGACUGCAGGUUGAAAUUAAAGACAUUAAAAUGUAUUCUUUAAAUAGCAGCCAGUUUACAAGCAAGAAGGAUCCUGCAAUUGAAAUAUCUCAUAGGCUGCAUUCUUCUUCAGGUCCUGCUAGUAUUAGUAGCCAGGAGGAAACCCAUUUUACUCGUCAUGACUUCUUUGAAUCAUUACAUAAAGGCCAUGCUUUCCACAUUCUGAAUAACACCACUAUCCAGUUUAAAUUGGAAAAGAUACCACUAGAAAAAGACUUAACUUUUCCUCUGAGUAAUGAAGACUUCGGAAUAUCAAGCAUUAUGAAGAUUGAAGGGAAAUUUGUUAACCCUCUUCAGGUCGUAUUAGCAAAACAUGUCUAUGAACAAGUCCUUCAGACUCUGGAUAAUUUAAUUUACAGUGAAGACUUGAACAGAUUCCCAACCACUUCUGUGUCUUCAACUUGUCAAAGUUCUCCUUCAACAUCACUUCCCAGUACAGGCACAGAAUUCUCAAGUGAACGGAAAGAAAAUGGUUUAUUCAGCCAUUCUAGUUUUAAUUCUCUUCCAAACAAGUCGGUAGCUAUCAGGGAAACAAAAUCUUUUACUCACAUUCAGGCAAACUUUCAUAUCUCAGAGCUUCAGGUGCAGUUAAGUGGUGACCUUACACUUGGUGCACAAGGCCUUGUCAGUCUUAAGUUUCAGGAUUUUGAUGUUGAGUUUGCUAAAGAUCAUCCUCAGACUUUGUCUAUUCAGAUUGCCCUGCGUUCUUUACUGAUGGAAGAUCUUCUGGAGAAGAACCCAGACUCUUUGUACAAGAAUCUCAUGGUGUCCCGUGGAGCACCCAAGCCCUCCAGUUUAGCACAUAAGGAAUAUCUUUCCCAGUCUUGUCCCUCAGUAUCCAAUGUAGAGUAUCCAGAUAUGCCCCGUUCCCUACCUUCCCAUAUGGAAGAAGCGCCUAAUGUCUUUCAGCUGUACCAAAGACCAGUUUGGUCCUCCCGUAAGAAGCAAAAAGAAGAUGCGGAUUCUGAGUAUCCUCUGACUCCACCUCCUUCUCCAACAGCAGACAGUUCCAAGUUGCCUUGUGGAAAAAGUAACUUUGAUGAUUCUUUGGUUCAUAUCAAUAUAUUUCUAGUGGAUAGGAAACAUCCUGAAUUUUCUUCUCACUAUAACAGACUUAACCGUAGCGUAGACGUUGAUUUUAAUUGUCUAGACGUCUUAAUAACUUUGCAAACUUGGGUAGUAAUACUGGAUUUCUUUGGUAUUGGAUCCACUGCUGAUAACCAUGCUAUGAAGCUGCAACCUGAAGAUACUCAGCAGGCAGUCAAAUCAGAAAUAAAUACCUUGUCAGCUGCUCAAGCCCAAGAGCCUGUAAACACAAAGCUGGAUCUGAAGAUCCAUUCUUUAUCCUUAGUACUGAAUAAGACAACUAGUGAGCUUGCUAAAGCCAGUGUGUCAAAACUUGCAGCUCACUUGGAAGUGAUUGAGGGAGAUUUAGCCCUGCAAGGAAGUAUUGGCAGUCUGUCCUUAAGUGACCUUACAGCUCAUGGAGAAUUUUACAGAGAACGUUUCACUACAAGUGGUGAAGAAGCACUCAUUUUCCAAGUCUUUAAAUAUGGGAAGCCAGAUCCAUUGCUGCAACGGGGGUGUGAUAUUCGUGUCACACUGCGGAUGGCGUCUGUUCAGUAUGUGCACACUCAGCGUUUCCAGGCAGAAGUGGUGUCAUUCAUCCAACAUUUUACUCAGCUUCAGGAUGUCUUGGGGCGUCAAAGAGCAGCAAUUGAAGGACAAACAGUAAGAGAUAAAGCACAGCGAGCUUCACGAGUUCUUCUUGAUAUUGAGGCUGGUGCUCCUGUUCUGCUUAUACCUGAGAGCUCAAAGUCUAAUAGUCUUAUUGUAGCUAAUCUUGGAAAACUGAAAGUGAAGAACAGAUUUCUGUUUGCUGGCAUGCCAGGCACUUUUUCAUUAAAGAACAAGCAGGAUUCAGCUCAAUUUUCAUCUCCUUUGGGAACUCCCAAACAUAGCAUGAAGAAAACAAGUGCUCAUGAAUCAAAAGUAGCAAUGGAAGGAUUGUUCAUGAAAAAAUCAUCAGGAACAAACAUGUCUAAGCUGAAGAAUGAACCUGUGCUGAAUACACUGAGUAAGCAACAAGGGCAGCAAACAAAGCUCCCUGUUGUACCGAACCCUGACAGCCCAGAGGAUCACAUCUGCCUCUUAGACUGCAUUGUGGUUGAUCUGCAGGACAUGGACAUAUUUGCUGCAGAAAGAUAUCACAGAGAGUGUUCAAAGGCUGUGGAAGGUACUAAUGCAGACUUGAGCUUUCCAUCCUACUUCGUGAGGCAAACAGGAGGAAGCUUAUUGACAGAACCUUUCAGAUUGAAGUUAGAAGUAGAAAGAAACUUAGACAAAGAGUUAAGUCAUGCAGUUGCAGACAUAUCAAUACAUGGCAACCUGUCAUCAGUCCAUUGCACUCUGGAUUUGAACAAGUAUAAACUGAUAAGGGGACUGCUGGAGAACAACCUUGGGGAGCCUAUAGAAGAGUUCAUGCGGCCUUAUGACUUGCAGGAUCCAAGAAUUCAUACAGUUCUAAGUGGAGAAGUGUAUACUUCUAUGUCAUUCCUUAUCGACAUGGUUAAUGUGAGCUUGGAACUCAUGGAUCCAAAAGGGAAAGAUGGAUGCAGCUCUUUAGCCAGGUUUGAUUUCAAGAAAUCCAAGUUGCUUUUUGAAAGUUCUUCAAAUGGAACAAAGUCUGUAAAUUUGGUUUCUCAUUCCAUGAUGGCAUUUGACACACGUUACGCUGGACAGAAGUCUGCUACAGGCACACCAAAUGUAUUCAACUGCAUCUUUCAGUCAUCAAAGAACACCAGUAGUCCAGGAGCAAUCCAGAUCGAAUUGCACUUCAGGUCUACAAAGGAUUCCUCCAGUUUCACAGUUGUUCUGAACAAUCUUCGUGUAUUUCUGAUCUUUGACUGGUUGUUACUUGUUCAUGAUUUCUUAUAUACCCCUGGAGAUACCAAAAAGCGGGAAACUCGCCAUUCUUCCCGGCAGCGAACUUACAGCAGUGAAACAGCUGUAGUUCCCAAAGCAGUGAAAAGUGGAGUAGUUACAAAGCGUUCAUCACUGCAUGUGUCUGCAGAAAAACAAUUGGAAGUAAAGGUUAAUGUGACAGGGACUGAAUUUGUGGUUGUUGAAGACAUGUGUUGUUUCGAUACCAAUGCCAUUAUUUUGAAGGGGACAACUGUUCUCACUUAUAAACCCAAGUUGCUGGAUCGUCCUUUCUCUGGUAGUUUGUUUGGCAUUGAGGUGUUUUCAUGCCGGUUAGGAAGUGAGCAAGAGACUGCACUGUCAAUCAUUGAUCCAGUACAAAUUCAGCUGGAGCUUGUUGGGAAUGCUUCCUACCCGAGUGGUUCAGGUCUGUUGGAUGCUUUCAAUAGUGAGGAUUUUCCUCCUGUUCUAGAGAUUCACUUGCAAGCACUGGAUAUCAGACUGUCCUACAAUGAUGUUCAACUAUUCCUGGCAAUUGCAAAGUCAAUUCCUCGACAGACUAGUGCAGCUAUGCCUGACACAACUAUAUCAACUGCUGAAAAUACUGCUAACCCUUCCAGUUCAGCACUGGUGAAUGAAACUUCCUCCUUGACACAUGAAAACAGAGAUACAUCCAAACGUGUGUUGGAUCCUGUUCUUGAGGUGCAGCUGGCUCGCCUCCAGGAGUUGGGAUUCAGUAUGGAAGAUUGUCGUAAAGCUCUUUUGAUCUGCCAAGGUGACUUGAAAAAAGCAGCCACUUGGUUAUUUAAGAACGCUGAACCUUUGAAAUCAGUUUCCCAGUCCUCUUCUGGUCGAGAUAGCCAGGGGAUUUUGCCUUUUCAGUUCAUCUCUGGAGUUGAAAUAAAAGCAGAAAUUAUAUGCAUUUGCUUUAUUGAUGACUGCAUGGACUGUGAUGUUCCUCUUGCUGAGUUAACCUUUUCACGCUUGAAUUUUCUCCAGCAUUUGAGAGCCAACCCAGAAGGUUAUGCUCGUUUUACCCUCUCUGGAGAUUAUUACAAUCGUGAGCUUUCAGGCUGGGAGCCAUUUAUUGAGCCUUGGCAGUGUUCAGUUUCUUGGCAACAGCAAGCUUCGAGCCGCCUCCAUCCUUCCCGACUGAAGCUGGAAGUAAAGGCUGAACACCGUCUGGAUAUAAACAUUACCUCUGUCUUCAUGGAGCAGUACACGUGUACCAAACAGUCCUGGAUGGAAGAUUACUGUAAAGAGGAGAAAGAGGUGAAUGUAAUCAGUACAGAAGACUGGAUGGAUUCUUCGGUGGAUCCACCAUGUUUUGGGCAGAGCCUUCCUCUUGUCUACCUUAGAACUAGGAGUACAGCCAGUUUGACUAACCUAGAGCAUCAGAUCUAUGCUAGAGCUGAAAUGAAGACUCCAAAACGCAGGCAACCAUUUGUCCCAUUUGCCCUAAGAAAUCAUACUGGAUGCACGCUCUGGUUUGCCACCCUAACUACAACUCCUACCAGGGCUGCCCUGUCUCACAGUGGGAGUCCAGGUGUGGUUCCUGAGGAAAACGGGACGUUGCUGGACGAUGCCCACAAUGUCAGUGAAUGGCAAGAGGUUAUUACUGGGGAAGAGAUUCCAUUUGAAUUUGAAGCUAGAGGAAAACUCAGACACAGGCACACUCACGAUCUAAGAAUUCACCAGUUACAAGUGAGAGUGAAUGGCUGGGAAGAAGUCAGUCCAGUGUCUGUAGAUAAAGUUGGAACAUUUUUCCGAUAUGCUGCACCAGAUAAGAACUCAUCCUCUUCUACUCUUGGAAGCCCAAUAAGUAGAACAAAUAUAAUACAUCCGCAAGUCUACUUUUCUUCAUUGCCUCCAGUUCGUGUGGUAUUUGAAGUUACCAUGGAAGGUAGCGCUCGAAAAGUGAUAACAGUGCGCUCAGCCUUGAUGGUGAAGAACAAGCUGGAAACACCAAUGGAACUAAGGCUAGACAGUCCUUCUGCUCCUGACAAGCCUGUAGUUCUUCCAGCAGUUAUGCCAGGAGAUUCCUUUGCAAUUCCAUUACAUCUUACAUCUUGGCGUUUGCAAGCCAGGCCAAAAGGAAUGGGAGUCUUUUUCUGUAAGGCUCCAAUUCACUGGACUAAUGUUCAGAAGACAGCAGAGGUCUGUAGUAGCAAGCAAGAGUGUCAUUCAAUGGAGUCUGAAAACAGCCAUUUUUUCAGGUUUUGUGUGGCUAUAAAGAAAGAAAAUUAUCCAGAUUACAUGCCUUCCAACAUAUUUUCUGACAGUGCUAAACAGAUUUUCAGGCAGCCUGGGCAUACUAUUUAUCUGUUACCAACAGUGGUAAUCUGCAACUUGCUGCCUUGUGAGCUUGAGUUCUACAUUAAAGGAACACCAAUUAAAGGGACAUUAAAACCUGGCAAAGAGGCAGCAUUGCACACAGCUGAUACAUCUCAGAACAUUGAGCUUGGGAUACUGCUAGAAAACUUCCCAGUCUGCAAAGAGCUGUUAAUUCCUCCUGGGACACAAAACUACAUGGUGCGGAUGCGGUUGUAUGAUGUCAACAAACGACUGUUAAGCUUGACCAUCCGGAUUGUGUGUCGUGCUGAAGGUUCUCUAAAAAUACUGAUUUCAGCACCAUACUGGUUAAUCAACAAAACAGGAUUACCACUUAUCUUCAGACAAGAUAAUGCAAAAACAGAUGCUGCAGGUCAGUUUGAAGAGCAUGAGCUUGCUAGAAGCCUCAGCCCACUUCUCUUCUGUUACGCUGAUAAAGAACAGCCAAACUUUUGUACAAUGCGGGUUGGAAGAGGAAUCCAUCCUGAAGGCAUGCCUGGCUGGUGCCAGGGUUUCUCCCUGGAUGGUGGUAGUGGUGUGAGAUCCCUGAAGGUGAUUCAGCAUGGAAACAGGCCAGGCCUCAUUUACAGCAUUGGUAUCGAUGUUAAAAAAGGCAGAGGCCGUUAUAUUGAUACAUGUAUGGUAACAUUUGCACCCCGUUACCUGCUAGAUAAUAAAUCAACCUACAAGCUUGCCUUUGUCCAGCGGGAGUUUGCCAGAGGUCAGGGAACGUCCAAUCCUGAUGGCUACAUCUCCACACUUCCUGGUUCCAGCGUUGUGUUCCACUGGCCACGUAAUGAUUAUGAUCAGUUGUUAUGUGUGAGACUAAUGGAUGUCCCAAACUGCGUCUGGUCUGGGGGCUUUGAGGUCAACAAAAAUAACUCAUUCCAUAUUAAUAUGAGGGACACCUUGGGAAAAUGUUACUUCUUAAGAGUAGAAAUUACUCUUCAAGGAGCCACAUAUCGCGUUGCAUUCAGUGACACUGAUCAGUUACCGCCACCUUUCCGCAUAGACAAUUUUUCCAAGGUCCCAGUUGUUUUUAAUCAGCAUGGCGUUGUCGAGCCGAGACUGUACACUGAGGUAAAGCCCAUGACCUCUCUGGACUAUGCCUGGGAUGAACCUAUUCUACAACCUUUUAUAAUGCUGACAGUGAAAGGGGCUGGCUCCUCGGAAAUCGUUUGUAGCAUGAAUGACUUCCAAGAGAGCAAGCAGCUUUACUACGAGAACUUCAUCUAUAUUGCUGCUACAUAUACUUUCUCAGGGUUACAGGAGCCAGGUGUAAGACCAGUUGCUUCAAAUAAGGAUGCUGCAUAUGCAGAGCUCGUCCUUGAUGUUUCUCCAAAGACUCAAAGAGUUGUACUGAAAAAGAAGGAGCCAGGAAAACGAUCCCAGCUUUGGAAAAUGACAAGUACAGGAAUGCUUUGCCAUGAAGGUUCAUCUGUUCCUCAAAACCCCCAUAAAGCAUCUCCUCGGAAUGUGGACUCUUGUAUGAUUUUAGAUAUUGCAGGCCUGGCGGCUGUUACUGAUAACAGGUAUGAGCCCCUGAUGUUGAGGAAGCCUGAUCGACGGCGCAGCACUACGCAGACGUGGAACUUUCGUGAUGGAAAGUUGACCUGUGGUAUUCAUGGACUUGUUGUCCAGGCAAAGGGGGGAAUAGUAGGCCUUCAUGAUGGAGCAGAAGUUGUUCUUGGUCCCGAUACUUCACUUGAUCUUCUGGGACCAGUUCCACCUGAACAGCAGUUCAUAAACCAAAAGAUGAGGCCUGGGUCAGGAGUACUGGCUGUUAGAGUCAUCCCGGAUGGGCCAACUAGAGUUCUACAGGUAACGGAUUUUAACCAACGUAGAAAUGAUCGUUUAUCCAGCGAAGGAGAUGAAUUUCCCAUUACAGAACAGGAUCUACGCAAGUUGAAAAACCCAGAUACAGAGCAGGAAUUAGAAGUGCUUGUGAAACUGGAAGGUGGAAUAGGAUUGUCUUUGGUAAAUAAGGUUCCUGAAGAGCUGGUGUUUGCAAGCCUCACAAGAAUUAAUAUCCACUACACAGAUCUGUCAACAAGUCAGGUGCUGGAGCUCAGUGUGCAAGACAUACAGGUGGACAACCAGCUUAUUGGCACCACAUGGCCUUUCAUGCUCUAUCUGACCCCUAAGACAAGUGAAAAUGAAUCCAUAGAAACUGGUCCUGCUGUGCAAGUAAAUGCGAUGAAAUUUCCCAGUAAAAAUGCACUGACUGAUAUAUACAAGCACCUGAUGAUCACUGCUAGAAAGUUCACCGUUCAAAUUGAGGAGAAACUACUUCUGAAGCUGUUGAGUUUCUUUGGCUAUGAUCAUUCUGAAUCAGAGGUUGAGAAAUACGAUGAAAACCUCCAUGAAAAGGUUGUUGAACAAGGUGGAGGACAAAAGCGAUACUACUUUGAAAACCUGAAAAUUAGUGUCCCUCAAAUCAAGUUGAGUGUCUUCACUUCCAGCAAGCUGCCUCUGGACCUCAAGGCAUUGAAAAGCACACUGGGAUUUCCUCUAAUCCGAUUUGAAGACGCUGUGAUUAAUCUGGAUCCUUUCACUAGGGUCCAUCCAUACGAAACUCAGGAGUUUAUCAUUAAUGACAUUUUGAAACACUUUCAAGAGGAGCUGCUUAGUCAGGCAGCAAGGAUUCUAGGCUCUGUGGAUUUCCUUGGCAACCCUAUGGGUCUGUUGAAUGAUGUUUCAGAAGGUGUUACUGGACUUAUAAAAUAUGGCAACGUUGGUGGUCUCAUAAGAAAUGUCACACAUGGAGUAUCAAACUCAGCUGCAAAGUUUGCUGGGACCUUGUCAGAUGGUUUGGGAAAGACAAUGGAUAGCAGACAUCAGACCGAACGAGAAUACAUCCGAUACCACGCUGCAACUAGUGGAGAACAUCUCGUGGCUGGAAUCCAUGGGCUUGCACAUGGAAUCAUUGGAGGACUGACAAGUGUAAUAACUUCAACUGUGGAAGGUGUGAAGACCGAAGGAGGUGUCAGUGGCUUCAUAUCGGGCCUUGGCAAAGGGCUGGUGGGCACAGUAACCAAACCUGUAGCUGGGGCUCUGGACUUUGCAUCGGAAACUGCACAGGCAGUGAGGGACACGGCAACUCUGAGUGGCCCCAGGACACGAGCAGAGAGAGUGAGAAAGCCCCGCUGCUGCAGGGGACCGCAAGGGCUCUUGCCCCGCUACUCACAGAGUCAAGCAGAAGGACAAGAACAGCUCUUCAAACUGACUGACAACAUCCAAGAUGAGUUCUUUAUAGCAGUGGAGAACAUAGACAGCUACUGUGUUCUCAUCUCAUCUAAAGCUGUUUAUUUCCUGAAGAGUGGUGAUUACACAGACCGCGAGGCCAUCUUCCUUGAAGUCAAGUAUGAUGAUCUCUACCACUGCCUUGUUUCAAAAGACCAUGGGAACGUGUACAUACAGUUGACGAAGAAAGCUGUUAAUACCAGUAGUGGUGUAGCUAUGCCAGGCCCAUCACAACAGAAACCAAUGGUGAAUGUGAAAUCUGAAGUUCUUGCAAUAAAGCUGUCUCAAGAAAUAAACUAUGCAAAGAGCCUUUAUUAUGAACAACAGCUUAUGUUAAGACUCAGUGAAAAUCAAGACCAAUUAGAGCUGGACUCCUGAACCUCUUCCUACUGCCAGAGUGAACUGCAAUUACUGGUCUGGAGCUGAUGGUACUCUGUCACUAGAGAAAGUCCUAUAUGCAACCUUUAUGCCCUCUCCUUCGAGCACACACCAGAGGGAAGCUGACAUGCAGAAGAACAUGUACUUACACACCAGAAAGCCAGAAGGUAUCACAGGACAUCCAGAAAUUCGCACAGCAUCUGUUGGAUGCUCUCAGCAUUUGAAAGACAAGCAUCCAUUGUCAAAGCAGAGAUUAAAUGCCUAUUUAAAUUAUAACCAUCAAUGAUAAGCAGCUUAGCACUGAGCCUUCGCUGUACAUUCACACACAGAUUAUGGUAUUACUGCAAGAUCUCUCUGCUGUAGGUUCCUGCAGAGGUUUGAAAUAACCCACACACAGCACAAGAGCCCACUUUCACAGCUGGCACACAUGAGCAACCCUUCUAGACUCACGCUGGUAACUGGACUGCUCUGGAGAAAAAGCAGGUUUCUGUCUUUCAUAAAGAAAUGCUGAAAUAUGAGCAAUUUGCAACAGAAACCAUGCAACUGACCAGCUGAUGCUCAACACAAGCACAGCACAAUGCCUGCAUAUUCCACAGAACAACCGUCUGCACCCCUUCUGGGCUGCAUUCAGCAACACUUCUCCUCACUGCCCACACUGAACAGGUAGCAAUAACCAACAGGUUUCCAGCACCAGCAAGACACCCGGAAGAGCCUCUGCACUUGUUCCCCCAGAGACAUGCAGAGAGGAGGCAUUUCUGGAGGUCUGGCUCCUAUUCAGGAGAGAAAUGUUUCCCUUGGCUUGUGAACGUUGCUCAGGCUGAGCACGGUAACAGGCUGAAGAAGCCAGCUUUCCAUUCCCUGUUCCAUUACUCUUUUUGAUUGGCACUUUAAUGAGGGCGCCAGGGGUCGACCCCUUGCCAGGGGGCAGGUUCAUGCCCCGUUUAUCUCACAGUCCAUGUAAGACUAAAAUAACACACCAGGCUGAGUUUCACUGGCUUGUAAUCCAACAGCCCACCAUGAUGGAUUGAGUGACUGCAGCAAGCUGGCAGCUAAAGUGUGUUGUAACAGUAUCUUUCUGUCAGCACAACACAAUGGAUUUGCUGAUUCCUGGGCUUUCCCAGUGUUCACCCUUACCAUCAGCUCAGAACUUGCUAAAGUUCAUUUUCCAGGGGGCUGCAAAGUGAUAAUAAAUAACAUACCAAAGGUUACGCCAAGCUUUUCUUCCCCUCAACUGUCCUGCUGCUGACAAAGUAGGGGGUGUGGUGCCAGCUUUAUUGCACACACAAGAGCAGCCGUAAAUCCACUCGCUUUUCCAGAAA